UAUAUAGGAAGAACCCUCCCUGGCCUCGCCAUCUUGAUAUGUUCCCAGGAGAGGAUUGCUUUCUUCUGGAACUGGAACACAGCAGGUGCAUCAUGGUUGUCAUCAGCUGUUGUGAGGAGAUGGUGUAAUUAGUCCAGCGAGGACAGCCAUCGUCGUCAGUAGUUACCAGCUAAUAGUGGGGCACUCUAAGGGGACUCCGGGUGAUAACCGGAGGAGAAGGUGGGGAUGGUCACAAGUCCUCAUGGCCCUUACCCAGGGGUACACACACGUGCCACAAUAGGGACACGGGGGCAGCGAGCAAGCGGGUAAGCCAAAACCAGAAAACCCAAUUCAGUCCGGAAUGGCGUUUGCAAAUUGGAGCCCAGAAAUCGGAAACGGCAGGAAACGCAGAUCAGCACGCUGCGGGAAUACGACAA
RNAcentral lists this ribosomal RNA (416 nucleotides) under endophytic bacterium SB58. RNAcentral describes it as "bacterial SSU rRNA". It matches the Rfam family "Bacterial small subunit ribosomal RNA", at positions 956 to 1370 of the family's 1533-position model. The record is from RNAcentral.